CUUCCUCAGGCACUGUCCAUCUUCUAUUGUGACAGCGUCUCUCACUGGCCCAGAAUUCACCAAGUAGACCAAGAUGGCUGACCAGCGAACCCCAGAGUUCUACCUGCCUUCGCCUCCCCAGUGCUGGGAUUACAAACAUGGGCCACCACACCCACCUUAUUUUAUGUGGCUUCUGGAAAUAGAACUCAGGUCUUUAUGCUUUCAAGGCAAGCACUUUAUCAAUGGAGCCAUUUCUGUAGCCCUCCCCUACGCAUCUUGCAGCUUACCCAGCAUCUUCCAGAAAGUGCCUGAUGAUAGCCCACAAAGCAACAAAAAUGGCUGGAGAACCUGAACGUUCCAAACAAAGAGAAGAGUACAGUGAUGGUUAGUAUUGAUUGUCAACUCGACAGGAUCUAGAAUCACUGAAGAGACAAGUCUGGGCAUGUCUUCAAGGGAUUAUCUAGAUUAACUGAGAGGCUCUACACCAUUGAGAGACAUACCCCAUCCAAGGACCACGAACCCCUG
Nannospalax galili (Upper Galilee mountains blind mole rat) is the source of this 504-nucleotide long non-coding RNA. RefSeq lists it as uncharacterized. NCBI's taxonomy places the organism in Eukaryota, Metazoa, Chordata, Mammalia, Rodentia, Spalacidae. The transcript is spliced from 3 exons. The record is from RefSeq and is a predicted model, not a curated record.